RNAcentral lists this ribosomal RNA (646 nucleotides) under Xiphinema rivesi. RNAcentral's name for it is "partial 28S ribosomal RNA". It matches the Rfam family "Eukaryotic small subunit ribosomal RNA", at positions 571 to 1213 of the family's 1831-position model. The record is from RNAcentral. Lineage: Eukaryota; Metazoa; Nematoda; Enoplea; Dorylaimida; Longidoridae.
CUACGGCUUGAAAUCCAGCUCAAAUAGAGUAUAUUAAAGUUUGUUGCGGUUUAAAACGCAUCGUAGAAUUGGAUCUGCGGCCUCGGAGAACGGUCCCCCGAAAGGGCGGUCACUGUUACUCCAAGCCUAAAUAUCUAGUCUACUCUACGGUGCUCUUAACCGAGUGCCUAGAGUGACUGGAACGUUUACUUUGAAAAAAUUAGAGUGCUUAAAGCAGGCGAAAUAGCCUGAAUAAGGUGCAUGGAAUAAUGGAAUAGGACCUCGGUUCUAUUUUGUUGGUUUUCGGAGCCCGAGGUAAUGAUUAAGAGGAACAGACGGGGGCAUUCGUAUUCCGGCGCUAGAGGUGAAAUUCUUGGACCGCCGGAAGACGGACGACUGCGAAAGCAUUUGCCAAGAAUGUUUUCAUUAAUCAAGAACGAAAGUUAGAGGUUCGAAGGCGAUCAGAUACCGCCCUAGUUCUAACCGUAAACGAUGACAACCAGCGAUUAGUCGGUGUUAAUAUACGACCCGACUAGCAGCUUCCGGGAAACCAAAGUUUUUCGUUUCCGGGGGAAGUAUGGUUGCAAAGCUGAAACUUAAAGGAAUUGACGGAAGGGCACCACCAGGAGUGGAGCCUGCGGCUUAAUUUGACUCCAACACGGAGGAA